This 512-nucleotide long non-coding RNA is filed under the name Homo sapiens (human). RNAcentral's name for it is "HSALNT0311333". The record is from RNAcentral. Lineage: Eukaryota; Metazoa; Chordata; Mammalia; Primates; Hominidae.
CAGGCAUGAAACCUGAGGGUGACUGUGGGUGAUGGAGAAGUGGAAGUGAGAGCCCUUCCUCUGACGUGCACAGGAUAUGAAAAUGUCUGAUAGUGUUGUGGCUGCAGUGAGACCUGGGAGUGGCAGUUUCUUUCACUGCAGUUGUCUGUCCAAAGCGAAGUGAACUAGCAAGUCUCUUACAAAAGGGCAAGCUCUGAACUGCGCACAGUUUCAUAGGUCUCUAAUCGUGGGAAACCUCGUAUGGCAGAAUGCAGGUCCAAAAGUCCUGGACUCUGAUCCAGAUAAACGGAAGUCUCAGGAAGAAAUAAAGAAAUUGGGACACAGAGAAUGUAAAUGGAGAUGCAGUGGAAUCAGACUCCAGAGUUCCCACUCAAAAACUUUUCUCUCUCUCCUAUCUUGUGAGGAAGGACAUUUUAGGUAUUACUUCAUCUAGAAAGGAAUGGCUCUUCAGCGAGGCAAGCAGAACUGGGAAUGCAGAGCCCAGGUUUGCAGCUUCACUUCUGAAGUCAAGC